This 253-nucleotide ribosomal RNA is filed under the name uncultured bacterium. RNAcentral describes it as "partial 16S ribosomal RNA". It matches the Rfam family "Bacterial small subunit ribosomal RNA", at positions 524 to 776 of the family's 1533-position model. The record is from RNAcentral.
UACGUAGGGUGCGAGCGUUAAUCGGAAUUACUGGGCGUAAAGCGUGCGCAGGCGGCUUUGCACGACAGAUGUGAAAUCCCCGGGCUCAACCUGGGAACUGCAUUUGUGACUGCAAGGCUAGAGUACGGCAGAGGGGGAUGGAAUUCCGCGUGUAGCAGUGAAAUGCGUAGAUAUGCGGAGGAACACCAAUGGCGAAGGCAAUCCCCUGGGCCUGUACUGACGCUCAUGCACGAAAGCGUGGGGAGCAAACAGG